GGGGGGAGCGCUGGAUCUUGGGCUGUGUCCCCCGGCGCCCUGGGCUCCAGGGCCUGUGCCACGGGAAUCGCGCUCCCUGGCUGCACAACCCUCU
Molecule: microRNA precursor, 94 nt
Filed under: Canis lupus familiaris (dog)
Lineage: Eukaryota; Metazoa; Chordata; Mammalia; Carnivora; Canidae
Also listed under: 1 other name
Description: mir-8799 microRNA precursor family
Rfam family: mir-8799 microRNA precursor family
Source: Rfam by way of RNAcentral